Molecule: ribosomal RNA, 2913 nt
Filed under: Acinetobacter baumannii
Lineage: Bacteria; Pseudomonadati; Pseudomonadota; Gammaproteobacteria; Moraxellales; Moraxellaceae
Description: bacterial LSU rRNA
Rfam family: Bacterial large subunit ribosomal RNA
Source: RNAcentral
GUUGUAUAGUCAAGUAAUUAAGUGCAUGUGGUGGAUGCCUUGGCAGUCAGAGGCGAUGAAAGACGUGAUAGCCUGCGAAAAGCUCCGGGGAGGCGGCAAAUAUCCUUUGAUCCGGAGAUGUCUGAAUGGGGGAACCCACCUACUUUAAGGUAGGUAUUGCAACAUGAAUACAUAGUGUUGCAAGGCGAACGAGGGGAAGUGAAACAUCUCAGUACCCUUAGGAAAAGAAAUCAAUUGAGAUUCCCUCAGUAGCGGCGAGCGAACGGGGAUCAGCCCAUUAAGUUAUGUGUGUUUUAGUGGAACGCUCUGGGAAGUGCGAACGUAGAGGGUGAUAUUCCCGUACACGAAAGGGCACACAUAAUGAUGACGAGUAGGGCGAGGCACGUGAAACCUUGUCUGAAUAUGGGGGGACCAUCCUCCAAGGCUAAAUACUCCUGACUGACCGAUAGUGAACCAGUACCGUGAGGGAAAGGCGAAAAGAACCCCUGUGAGGGGAGUGAAAUAGAUCCUGAAACCGCAUGCAUACAAGCAGUGGGAGCACCUUCGUGGUGUGACUGCGUACCUUUUGUAUAAUGGGUCAGCGACUUAUAUUCAGUAGCAAGGUUAACCGUAUAGGGGAGCCGUAGAGAAAUCGAGUCUUAAUAGGGCGUUUAGUUGCUGGGUAUAGACCCGAAACCAGGCGAUCUAUCCAUGAGCAGGUUGAAGGUUGGGUAACACUAACUGGAGGACCGAACCCACUGUCGUUGAAAAGCCAGGGGAUGACUUGUGGAUAGGGGUGAAAGGCUAAUCAAGCCUGGUGAUAGCUGGUUCUCCCCGAAAGCUAUUUAGGUAGCGCCUCGGACGAAUACCAUAGGGGGUAGAGCACUGUUUCGGCUAGGGGGUCAUCCCGACUUACCAAACCGAUGCAAACUCCGAAUACCUAUGAGUACUAUCCGGGAGACAGACUGCGGGUGCUAACGUCCGUAGUCAAGAGGAAAACAAUCCAGACCGCCAGCUAAGGCCCCAAAAUCAUAGUUAAGUGGGAAACGAUGUGGGAAGGCAUAGACAGCUAGGAGGUUGGCUUAGAAGCAGCCACCCUUUAAAGAAAGCGUAAUAGCUCACUAGUCGAGUCGGCCUGCGCGGAAGAUGUAACGGGGCUAAAACUAUGUGCCGAAGCUGCGGAUNNNNNNNNNNNNNNNNNNNNNNNNNNNNNNNNNNNNNNNNNNNNNNNNNNNNNNNNNUGCUGGAGGUAUCAGAAGUGCGAAUGCUGACGUGAGUAACGACAAAACGGGUGAAAAACCCGUUCGCCGAAAGACCAAGGGUUCCAGUCCAACGUUAAUCGGGGCUGGGUGAGUCGACCCCUAAGGCGAGGCCGAAAGGCGUAGUCGAUGGGAAAAUGGUUAAUAUUCCAUUACUUCUGUGUAAUGCGAUGAGAGGACGGAGAAGGCUAAAUCAGCCUGGCGUUGGUUGUCCAGGUGAAAGGAUGUAGGCAUGUAUCUUAGGCAAAUCCGGGGUACUCUAUGCUGAGAUCUGAUAGCAAGCUGUACUUGUACAGCGAAGUGGUUGAUGCCAUGCUUCCAGGAAAAGUCUCUAAGCUUCAGUUACACAGGAAUCGUACCCGAAACCGACACAGGUGGUCAGGUCGAGUAGACCAAGGCGCUUGAGAGAACUCUGCUGAAGGAACUAGGCAAAAUGGUACCGUAACUUCGGGAGAAGGUACGCUGUUGUUGGUGAUGGAACUCGCUUCCUGAGCUGACGACAGCCGCAGAAACCAGGCCGCUGCAACUGUUUAUUAAAAACAUAGCACUCUGCAAACACGAAAGUGGACGUAUAGGGUGUGAUGCCUGCCCGGUGCUGGAAGGUUAAUUGAUGGGGUUAGCGUAAGCGAAGCUCUUGAUCGAAGCCCCAGUAAACGGCGGCCGUAACUAUAACGGUCCUAAGGUAGCGAAAUUCCUUGUCGGGUAAGUUCCGACCUGCACGAAUGGCAUAAUGAUGGCGGCGCUGUCUCCAGCAGAGGCUCAGUGAAAUCGAAAUCGCUGUGAAGAUGCAGUGUACCCGCGGCUAGACGGAAAGACCCCGUGAACCUUUACUGCAGCUUGACACUGAACUUUGACCUUACUUGUGUAGGAUAGGUGGGAGGCUUUGAAGCUGGAACGCUAGUUCCAGUGGAGCCGUCCUUGAAAUACCACCCUGGUAAUGUUGAGGUUCUAACUCUGUCCCGUGAUCCGGGACGAGGACCGUGUCUGGUGGGUAGUUUGACUGGGGCGGUCUCCUCCUAAAGAGUAACGGAGGAGUACGAAGGUGCGCUCAGCGUGGUCGGAAAUCACGCGUAGAGUAUAAAGGCAAAAGCGCGCUUAACUGCGAGACCCACAAGUCGAGCAGGUACGAAAGUAGGUCUUAGUGAUCCGGUGGUUCUGUAUGGAAGGGCCAUCGCUCAACGGAUAAAAGGUACUCUGGGGAUAACAGGCUGAUACCGCCCAAGAGUUCAUAUCGACGGCGGUGUUUGGCACCUCGAUGUCGGCUCAUCUCAUCCUGGGGCUGAAGCAGGUCCCAAGGGUAUGGCUGUUCGCCAUUUAAAGAGGUACGCGAGCUGGGUUUAGAACGUCGUGAGACAGUUCGGUCCCUAUCUACCGUGGGCGCUGGAAAUUUGAGAGGAUCUGCUCCUAGUACGAGAGGACCAGAGUGGACGAACCUCUGGUGUACCGGUUGUGACGCCAGUCGCAUCGCCGGGUAGCUAUGUUCGGAAGGGAUAACCGCUGAAAGCAUCUAAGCGGGAAGCCUACCUCAAGAUAAGAUUUCCCUAGGACUUUAUGUCCUCUAAAGAGCCGUUCGAGACUAGGACGUUGAUAGGUUGGAUGUGGAAGCAUAGUGAUAUGUGAAGCUGACCAAUACUAAUUGCUCGUGAGGCUUGACUAUACAACACCCAAGCAGUUG